RNAcentral lists this ribosomal RNA (446 nucleotides) under uncultured bacterium. Its description in RNAcentral is "partial 16S ribosomal RNA". It matches the Rfam family "Bacterial small subunit ribosomal RNA", at positions 338 to 795 of the family's 1533-position model. The record is from RNAcentral.
CCUACGGGCGACUGCAGUCGAGAAUCAUUCACAAUGGGGGAAACCCUGAUGGUGCGACGCCGCGUGGGGGAAUGAAGGUCUUCGGAUUGUAAACCCCUGUCAUGUGGGAGCAAAUUAAAAAGAUAGUACCACAAGAGGAAGAGACGGCUAACUCUGUGCCAGCAGCCGCGGUAAUACAGAGGUCUCAAGCGUUGUUCGGAAUCACUGGGCGUAAAGCGUGCGUAGGCUGUUUCGUAAGUCGUGUGUGAAAGGCGCGGGCUCAACCCGCGGACGGCACAUGAUACUGCGAGACUAGAGUAAUGGAGGGGGAACCGGAAUGCUCGGUGUAGCAGUGAAAUGCGUAGAUAUCGAGAGGAACACUCGUGGCGAAGGCGGGUUCCUGGACAUUAACUGACGCUGAGGCACGAAGGCGAGGGUAGCGAAAAGGAUUAGAUACCCUAGUAGUC